This is a long non-coding RNA of Vespula pensylvanica (western yellowjacket), 804 nucleotides long. RefSeq lists it as uncharacterized. The transcript is spliced from 2 exons. The record is from RefSeq and is a predicted model, not a curated record. Lineage: Eukaryota; Metazoa; Arthropoda; Insecta; Hymenoptera; Vespidae.
GAUGACGAUGACGAUGACGAUGACGAUAACGACGACGACGACGAUAAUGAUGACGAUGAUGAUGAUGAUGCGGUUCGUGUUUUAUCGCGCAAGUGGAGAAAGUGUUUUAGAAAAUCCUCUCUAUGUAAUUCUGUGAUCAGUAGUGAUACACAACGAUGAUUAAACAAAUCUAGUUUAUACAAAUCGAGAAGUGAAGUUUUGCGAAAAGGAAAGAAGAAAAAAUGAAAAAAUGAAUAAUAAAAAAAAAAACAAGUACUCGAACUAAUAUAUAUAUAUAUAUACACAUAUAUAUAAUAUACACAUAUAUGUAUGAAUAGCGAGAUGGUGAGAAUUGGAGUUGACAGCAUGAGUUGUACGGAGGUAUUAUAAUUAUGAUUAUUAUUAUUAUUAAUUAAUUAAUUAUAUUAUUAUAUAAUUAUUUUAUUACUAUUAUUGUUAUUAUUAUUAUUAUUAUUAUUAUUAUUAUAUAUUGAUAACAUAAGUGUUCGCGAAGGUAAAAACUAGAAUUGUAUCAUAAUAAACGGCUAAUAAUAAUUGUGUAAAUAUAUUUAAAAAAAAAAAAAAAAAAAAAAAAAAGAAAAAAAGGGAAAAAAAAGGAAAAGGACAAAAAAAUAUUAUAGUUAUUAUUUCAACAAGAGAAUAGCGGAUUACACGUAGAAUAUGGAAUAUAAAUCGAUAAAAAUGUGUGAGUUAGCUAAAAACGACUGUUGUUGUUGUUGUGUGGUGUUAACUGUAGUGAACAAAACAAAAAUGAAAAAGUCGAUGUAUGUCUAGACUUUGGAGAAUAAAAACUCUCAACACACA